UACAGAGGUCUCAAGCGUUGUUCGGAUUCAUUGGGCGUAAAGGGCGCGUAGGCGGUGCAAUAAGUCAGGCGUGAAAGCCCCGGGCUCAACCCGGGAAUUGCGCUUGAUACUGUUGCGCUUGAAUCCAGGAGAGGAUGGCGGAAUUCCCAGUGUAGAGGUGAAAUGCGUAGAUAUCGGGAGGAACACCUGUGGCGAAAGCGGCGCACUGGACCAUAACUGACGCUGAGGCGCGAAAGCUAGGGGAGCAAACAGG
Molecule: ribosomal RNA, 253 nt
Filed under: uncultured bacterium
Lineage: Bacteria
Description: partial 16S ribosomal RNA
Rfam family: Bacterial small subunit ribosomal RNA
Source: RNAcentral